AACUUUUCGCAAUGGAUCACUUGGUUCUGGCAUCGAUGAAGAACGCAGCGAAAUGCGAUAAGUAAUGUGAAUUGCAGAAUUCAGUGACUCAUCGAAUCUUUGAACGCACAUUGCGCCCGCUGGUAUUCCGGCGGGCAUGCCUGUUCGAGCGUCAUUAUGACCAAUCAAGCUCUGCUUGGCCUUGGGGCCCGCUGUACCGGCGGCCCUUAAAACUAGUGGCGGUGCCGUCUGGCUCUAAGCGUAGUAAUACUUCUCGCUAUAGUGUCUAGGCGUCCACCCGCCAGAACCUCCAACUUUCUUAGGUUGACCUCGGAUCAGGUAGGGAUACCCGCUGAACUUAAGCAUAUCAAUAAGCGGAGGCU
RNAcentral lists this unclassified non-coding RNA (362 nucleotides) under uncultured Phialophora. Its description in RNAcentral is "sequence contains ITS2". The stretch from base 1 to 154 matches the Rfam family "5.8S ribosomal RNA". The record is from RNAcentral. Lineage: Eukaryota; Fungi; Ascomycota; Leotiomycetes.